CUCCUACGGGAGGCAGCAGUGGGGAAUAUUGGACAAUGGGGGCAACCCUGAUCCAGCGACGCCGCGUGUGUGAAGAAGGCCUGCGGGUUGUAAAGCACUUUUAGUGGGGACAAAAAGCCAUCGGCUAAUACCAGGUGGUCUUGAUUUAACCCAAAGAAAAAGCACCGGCUAACUCUGUGCCAGCAGCCGCGGUAAUACAGAGGGUGCGAGCGUUAAUCGGAAUUACUGGGCGUAAAGCGUGCGUAGACGGUUUCGUAAGUCGGGUGUGAAAUCCCCGGGCUCAACCUGGGAAUUGCAUUCGAAACUGCGAGGCUAGGGUACGGAAGAGGGAAGCGGAAUUUCUGGUGUAGCGGUGAAAUGCGUAGAUAUCAGAAGGAACAUCAGUGGCGAAAGCGGCUUCCUGGUCCAGUACCGACGUUCAGGCACGAAAGCGUGGGGAGCAAACAGGAUUAGAUACCCUGGUAGUCCACGCCAUAAACGAUGAGAACUAGACGUUGAGAGGGUUAGCCUCCCAGUGUCGCAGCUAACGCGCUAA
Molecule: ribosomal RNA, 535 nt
Filed under: uncultured bacterium
Lineage: Bacteria
Description: bacterial SSU rRNA
Rfam family: Bacterial small subunit ribosomal RNA
Source: RNAcentral